CCCUUAGAUGUUCUGGGCCGCACGCGCGCUACACUGACGAUAGCAACGAGUUUUUCCUUCGCCGAAAGGUGUGGGUAAUCUUUUGAAACAUCGUCGUGCUGGGGAUAGAUCAUUGCAAUUUUUGAUCUUGAACGAGGAAUUCCUAGUAAGCGCGAGUCAUCAGCUCGCGUUGAUUACGUCCCUGCCCUUUGUACACACCGCCCGUCGCUACUACCGAUUGAAUGGUUUAGUGAGGACUCCUGAUUGGCGCCGCCGCCCCGGCAACGGAGCAGCGGACUGCCGAAAAGUUGUUCAAACUUGAUCAUUUAGAGGAAGUAAAAGUCGUAACA
RNAcentral lists this ribosomal RNA (329 nucleotides) under uncultured eukaryote. RNAcentral describes it as "partial 18S ribosomal RNA". It matches the Rfam family "Eukaryotic small subunit ribosomal RNA", at positions 1470 to 1796 of the family's 1831-position model. The record is from RNAcentral.